Molecule: ribosomal RNA, 256 nt
Filed under: uncultured bacterium
Lineage: Bacteria
Description: partial 16S ribosomal RNA
Rfam family: Bacterial small subunit ribosomal RNA
Source: RNAcentral
UACGAAGGGGGCUAGCGUUGUUCGGAAUUACUGGGCGUAAAGGGCGCGUAGGCGGCCCGAUCAGUCAGAUGUGAAAGCCCCCGGGCUCAACCUGGGAACUGCAUUUGAUACUGUCGGGCUUGAGUUCCGGAGAGGAUGGUGGAAUUCCCAGUGUAGAGGUGAAAUUCGUAGAUAUUGGGAAGAACACCGGUGGCGAAGGCGGCCAUCUGGACGGACACUGACGCUGAGGCGCGAAAAGCGUGGGGGAGCAAACAGG